UACGGAGGGUGCAAGCGUUAAUCGGAAUUACUGGGCGUAAAGCGCACGCAGGCGGUUGAUUGAGUCAGAUGUGAAAUCCCCGGGCUUAACCCGGGAAGUGCAUCUGAUACUGGUAAGCUAGAGUCCUGUAGAGGGGGGUAGAAUUCCAUGUGUAGCGGUGAAAUGCGUAGAGAUGUGGAGGAAUACCGAAGGCGAAGGCAGCCCCUUGGGCAUUUACUGACGCUGAUGCACGAAGGUGUGGGUAUCAAACAGG
Molecule: ribosomal RNA, 253 nt
Filed under: uncultured bacterium
Lineage: Bacteria
Description: partial 16S ribosomal RNA
Rfam family: Bacterial small subunit ribosomal RNA
Source: RNAcentral